This 119-nucleotide non-coding RNA is filed under the name Nocardioides dokdonensis. RNAcentral's name for it is "TPP sequence". It matches the Rfam family "TPP riboswitch aptamer (THI element)". Rfam says of the family: Vitamin B(1) in its active form thiamin pyrophosphate (TPP) is an essential coenzyme that is synthesised by coupling of pyrimidine and thiazole moieties in bacteria. The previously detected thiamin-regulatory element, thi box was extended, resulting in a new, highly conserved RNA secondary structure, the THI element, which is widely distributed in eubacteria and also occurs in some archaea. Lineage: Bacteria; Bacillati; Actinomycetota; Actinomycetes; Propionibacteriales; Nocardioidaceae. The record is from RNAcentral. RNAcentral also lists the same sequence under 1 other name.
GCACACAGACAGGGGAGCACCCGCCCGGACCACGGGCGGUGCUGAGAGUGCGGACCAGCCGCAGACCCUCCGAACCUGCUCCGGCUAGCACCGGCGAAGGGAGUCCAGAUGCGACGCAU